GAUAGGUGUUUGGUGUUGACCUUGAGUGUUCCAAAGGCUCUGUAGUGAAUGGAUGAUGACAUUGAUGUAGGGUGGGAAUGCAUUAUCAAGGCGCUGUUUGUAUACCUCAAUGAAGACCAGGAACAUUUUGUGAGGGAGUACGUGGCAGAAGAGGAAGCUGUGAUGCAAGGAUCCAUUGCGGAGACUGUGGUUGGGAUCUACGUGGUCAAACAUGAUGUCAGUGCUAAACCAGAGGACAUUAGCAUAGUCCUCAAAGACCUUAUGGUAGUCCAUGAUCUGGAUAACGUCCCAUUAGCUGCUGCCAGGUUGUUUGAUUUAUGUAUGCCUUAAAUCUCACCUACCCUCCUGAAGUCCACUUUUGAAAUUAUGCAGAAACUCGUCAUGGAGCUGGAUGGCAGCACACUGUCAAAGAAAGCGCAGGCCCUAAAAAACAGACUUCAUAUUUAACAGUUUGUGAAUAUUGCUGCACCACCUUUUUCAAAUGUGCUGGUUUUAUAAUAUUGCUAAAUCCUUGCUAAAGUCCUUAUUUCUCCCUCUUUUCCCUGUUUUUUAUUAUGUUGUAUAAUUGCUAUUUCUCUUAGUUAUCCAGAGCCAGGUAGCGGUUUCUUGUUUGUUGGACUUAGGACUUAUGUUAGGACUUACAGUGUUGUAGCACUUAGAUAUGUUUACUAUUCACUCUUGAUAAGAGUUAACAAUUGUUGCAUUAUAAAAUGGAAUGUGCUUUGUUCUAAGAAGUGAGAUCCAAACUUUUGUAUGGAUUUGUGGUCCAGGGUUAAGGUUGUUUAAAUCCUUAACGAAAUACAGUU
Long non-coding RNA from Seriola aureovittata, 806 nucleotides. RefSeq lists it as uncharacterized. The record is from RefSeq and is a predicted model, not a curated record. The transcript has 3 exons. Lineage: Eukaryota; Metazoa; Chordata; Actinopteri; Carangiformes; Carangidae.